Molecule: long non-coding RNA, 387 nt
Organism: Nycticebus coucang (slow loris)
Lineage: Eukaryota; Metazoa; Chordata; Mammalia; Primates; Lorisidae
Exons: 3
Source: RefSeq, a predicted model, not a curated record
CAGGCCCCAGGGGACAGCCCAGACUUAGGAGAGCUGACAGAUGAAGCCACGUUUGGCUGGUACUCCAAGGUGGAUGCUUCCCAGCUCCUGCAUGCUAUCCCUGCAGCAGGUACCAUAAUGAAAGGUCAACAGUAACGGCUUGAGGCGAAAGGAUAAGAUGUGACAGAGACACAUCAGAAAUUAUGUAGCUGCUACAGAGAAGAUUCCUGGCAGGGGCUCUUGAUCCUCAUGAAAUUGGAAACACCCACAAGAAUCAACCUGAGGACACUGGGCCAAUGAUUCUGACACCCCAUUGGCUGAGUGCAGGCAGUGAUGCCCUCUGAGGACAGCUAGGACAGAAGUCAGGGAUGCCUGGAGAAAAAGCAGGACCACAAGGGCCACACUUGG